Molecule: ribosomal RNA, 525 nt
Filed under: uncultured bacterium
Lineage: Bacteria
Description: bacterial SSU rRNA
Rfam family: Bacterial small subunit ribosomal RNA
Source: RNAcentral
CUGAUCAGCUAUGCCGCGUGUGUGAAGAAGGCCUUCGGGUUGUAAAGCACUUUUGUCCGGAAAGAAAGCAUUUACACGAAUAAUGUAGAUGGAUGACGGUACCGGAAGAAUAAGCACCGGCUAACUACGUGCCAGCAGCCGCGGUAAUACGUAGGGUGCGAGCGUUAAUCGGAAUAACUGGGCGUAAAGGGUGCGCAGGCGGUUUGUUAAGACGGAUGUGAAAGCCCCGGGCUCAACCUGGGAAUGGCAUACGUGACUGGCAAACUAGAAUAUGGCAGAGGGAGGUGGAAUUCCAUGUGUAGCAGUGAAAUGCGUAGAGAUAUGGAGGAACAUCGAUGGCGAAGGCAGCCUCCUGGGCCAAUAUUGACGCUCAGGCACGAAAGCGUGGGGAGCAAACAGGAUUAGAUACCCUGGUAGUCCACGCCCUAAACGAUGUCAACUAGUUGUUAGGGAAGUUUUUCCUUAUUAACGUAGCUUACGCGUGAAGUUGACCGCCUGGGGAGUACGGUCGCAAGACUAAAACUC